Molecule: ribosomal RNA, 2903 nt
Filed under: Enterobacter hormaechei
Lineage: Bacteria; Pseudomonadati; Pseudomonadota; Gammaproteobacteria; Enterobacterales; Enterobacteriaceae
Description: 23S ribosomal RNA
Rfam family: Bacterial large subunit ribosomal RNA
Source: RNAcentral
GGUUAAGCGACUAAGCGUACACGGUGGAUGCCCUGGCAGUCAGAGGCGAUGAAGGACGUGCUAAUCUGCGAAAAGCGCCGGCGAGGUGAUAUGAACCCUUGACCCGGCGAUGUCCGAAUGGGGAAACCCAGUGUGUUCCGACACACUAUCGUUAACUGAAUACAUAGGUUAACGAGGCGAACCGGGGGAACUGAAACAUCUAAGUACCCCGAGGAAAAGAAAUCAACCGAGAUUCCCCCAGUAGCGGCGAGCGAACGGGGAGCAGCCCGGAGUCUGAAUCAGCUUGUGUGUUAGUGGAACGGUCUGGAAAGUCCGACGGUACAGGGUGAUAGUCCCGUACACGAAAACACACUUGCUGUGAACUCGAAGAGUAGGGCGGGACACGUGGUAUCCUGUCUGAAUAUGGGGGGACCAUCCUCCAAGGCUAAAUACUCCUGACUGACCGAUAGUGAACCAGUACCGUGAGGGAAAGGCGAAAAGAACCCCGGCGAGGGGAGUGAAAAAGAACCUGAAACCGUGUACGUACAAGCAGUGGGAGCACCUUCGGGUGUGACUGCGUACCUUUUGUAUAAUGGGUCAGCGACUUAUAUUCUGUAGCAAGGUUAACCGUAUAGGGGAGCCGAAGGGAAACCGAGUCUUAACUGGGCGUUAAGUUGCAGGGUAUAGACCCGAAACCCGGUGAUCUAGCCAUGGGCAGGUUGAAGGUUGGGUAACACUAACUGGAGGACCGAACCGACUAAUGUUGAAAAAUUAGCGGAUGACCUGUGGCUGGGGGUGAAAGGCCAAUCAAACCGGGAGAUAGCUGGUUCUCCCCGAAAGCUAUUUAGGUAGCGCCUCGUGAACUCAUCUUCGGGGGUAGAGCACUGUUUCGGCUAGGGGGCCAUCCCGGCUUACCAACCCGAUGCAAACUACGAAUACCGAAGAAUGUUAUCACGGGAGACACACGGCGGGUGCUAACGUCCGUCGUGAAGAGGGAAACAACCCAGACCGCCAGCUAAGGUCCCAAAGUCAUGGUUAAGUGGGAAACGAUGUGGGAAGGCACAGACAGCCAGGAUGUUGGCUUAGAAGCAGCCAUCAUUUAAAGAAAGCGUAAUAGCUCACUGGUCGAGUCGGCCUGCGCGGAAGAUGUAACGGGGCUAAACCAUGCACCGAAGCUGCGGCAGCGACACUAUGUGUUGUUGGGUAGGGGAGCGUUCUGUAAGCCGUUGAAGGUGUGCUGUGAGGCAUGCUGGAGGUAUCAGAAGUGCGAAUGCUGACAUAAGUAACGAUAAAGCGGGUGAAAAGCCCGCUCGCCGGAAGACCAAGGGUUCCUGUCCAACGUUAAUCGGGGCAGGGUGAGUCGACCCCUAAGGCGAGGCCGAAAGGCGUAGUCGAUGGGAAACAGGUUAAUAUUCCUGUACUUGGUGUUACUGCGAAGGGGGGACGGAGAAGGCUAUGUCAGCCGGGCGACGGUUGUCCCGGUUUAAGCAUGUAGGCGGAGGUUCCAGGUAAAUCCGGUACCUUUUAACGCUGAGGUGUGAUGACGAGGCACUACGGUGCUGAAGUGAUAAAUGCCCUGCUUCCAGGAAAAGCCUCUAAGCAUCAGGUAACACGAAAUCGUACCCCAAACCGACACAGGUGGUCAGGUAGAGAAUACCAAGGCGCUUGAGAGAACUCGGGUGAAGGAACUAGGCAAAAUGGUGCCGUAACUUCGGGAGAAGGCACGCUGAUAUGUAGGUGAAGCCCCUGCGGGCGGAGCUGAAAUCAGUCGAAGAUACCAGCUGGCUGCAACUGUUUAUUAAAAACACAGCACUGUGCAAACACGAAAGUGGACGUAUACGGUGUGACGCCUGCCCGGUGCCGGAAGGUUAAUUGAUGGGGUUAGCGGCAACGCGAAGCUCUUGAUCGAAGCCCCGGUAAACGGCGGCCGUAACUAUAACGGUCCUAAGGUAGCGAAAUUCCUUGUCGGGUAAGUUCCGACCUGCACGAAUGGCGUAAUGAUGGCCAGGCUGUCUCCACCCGAGACUCAGUGAAAUUGAACUCGCUGUGAAGAUGCAGUGUACCCGCGGCAAGACGGAAAGACCCCGUGAACCUUUACUAUAGCUUGACACUGAACACUGGUCCUUGAUGUGUAGGAUAGGUGGGAGGCUUUGAAGCGUGGACGCCAGUCUGCGUGGAGCCAUCCUUGAAAUACCACCCUUUAAUGGCUGGUGUUCUAACGUAGACCCGUAAUCCGGGUUGCGGACAGUGUCUGGUGGGUAGUUUGACUGGGGCGGUCUCCUCCCAAAGAGUAACGGAGGAGCACGAAGGUUGGCUAAUCCUGGUCGGACAUCAGGAGGUUAGUGCAAUGGCAUAAGCCAGCUUGACUGCGAGCGUGACGGCGCGAGCAGGUGCGAAAGCAGGUCAUAGUGAUCCGGUGGUUCUGAAUGGAAGGGCCAUCGCUCAACGGAUAAAAGGUACUCCGGGGAUAACAGGCUGAUACCGCCCAAGAGUUCAUAUCGACGGCGGUGUUUGGCACCUCGAUGUCGGCUCAUCACAUCCUGGGGCUGAAGUAGGUCCCAAGGGUAUGGCUGUUCGCCAUUUAAAGUGGUACGCGAGCUGGGUUUAGAACGUCGUGAGACAGUUCGGUCCCUAUCUGCCGUGGGCGCUGGAGAAUUGAGGGGGGCUGCUCCUAGUACGAGAGGACCGGAGUGGACGCAUCACUGGUGUUCGGGUUGUCAUGCCAAUGGCACUGCCCGGUAGCUAAAUGCGGAAGAGAUAAGUGCUGAAAGCAUCUAAGCACGAAACUUGCCCCGAGAUGAGUUCUCCCUGAGACUUUAAGUCUCCUGAAGGAACGUUGAAGACGACGACGUUGAUAGGUCGGGUGUGUAAGCGCAGCGAUGCGUUGAGCUAACCGAUACUAAUGAACCGUGAGGCUUAACCUU